GCCUCUAUAGCUCUGUGGUAGAGCGUCAGUCUUGUACACUGAAGGUCUGUAGUAGUUCGAUCCUGCAUUGGGGCA
Molecule: non-coding RNA, 75 nt
Organism: Salvia splendens (bonfire salvia)
Lineage: Eukaryota; Viridiplantae; Streptophyta; Magnoliopsida; Lamiales; Lamiaceae
Source: the annotation of a RefSeq genome assembly